Molecule: ribosomal RNA, 459 nt
Filed under: uncultured bacterium
Lineage: Bacteria
Description: partial 16S ribosomal RNA
Rfam family: Bacterial small subunit ribosomal RNA
Source: RNAcentral
CCUACGGGUGGCAGCAGUGAGGAAUAUUGGUCAAUGGACGAGAGUCUGAACCAGCCAAGUAGCGUGAAGGAUGACUGCCCUAUGGGUUGUAAACUUCUUUUAUAUGGGAAUAAAACAGGGUAUGCAUACCCUCUUGUAUGUACCAUAUGAAUAAGGAUCGGCUAACUCCGUGCCAGCAGCCGCGGUAAUACGGAGGAUCCGAGCGUUAUCCGGAUUUAUUGGGUUUAAAGGGUGCGUAGGCGGAAGGUUAAGUCAAUGGUCAAAUGUCGGUGCUCAACACCGGCCUGCCGUUGAAACUGGUCUUCUUGAGUGAGCGAGAAGUAUGCGGAAUGCGUGGUGUAGCGGUGAAAUGCAUAGAUAUCACGCAGAACUCCGAUUGCGAAGGCAGCAUACCGGCGCUCAACUGACGCUGAGGCACGAAAGCGUGGGGAUCGAACAGGAUUAGAUACCCCGGUAGUC